AGAAAAGCAAACCAUCACAUUUCCUCUUGAACUUGAAGCUGUAUAGCAGGGCCACUCUGGUUUUUGCCUCAAAUCCCAGAGCUUGACAUCAUGGUCAAAUGACGAAGUAGCAAAUAUGAAGGGAGAAUAGUGAGCAAAUUUAGCAACAUUAAUGGGUUCUCGAUGCAUAUUAGUAAACAGCUGUAUGCGUCUUCUACUACUAAUGUCAUACAGAGCAACAUCCUUUGAGUACCCACUGGCAAGAAACUGAUCAUCUGUGGAAUUGACAUGAACAGAAGUCAAUGGCUCAAAAUCAUCAAAGCCAACCACUCCAGUGCUGCAAUUUAUGUCUGCAACAUUUGGUAGCAUAUAAUUGAUGUCAAACAACUUCAAGCUACCAUUAUCAGAACCAGCUAGCAGCUUUGAUGGAUACAUCUUGAGCCAACAGAGACCCAAAACACUGUUCAUUGCUCCUGUGGAAGGAAUAAAACCAACAAUCUUCCCAUUUUCAUGAUUCACGACGACUAUUUCGCCAUCUAGAGUCCCAAAAACCAUAAGACUAGAAUCAGAUGGAUGAUAUUCAAACUGCCUAGGGCGAAGCUGCUCACGUCCUUCUUUAUGCAUAUUGCUGAAGUUAGACAAAGGAUGCAAAAGGGGCCAUGCAGUAGACCCAAGUUUGGCAGCACUAAGAGCCCGUGGAAAGACACAUUGGCUCUUUCCAUAAGGAUAUUGCUUCUUUGGCUUACGGAAAUUAGGGCAAUAGGCACCACUUGCUCCCAUUUCACGAUUCUGCAGAAUGCUAACAACACUUUCUUUGUGCUGUCGGUUAUAGGGUAAGUACUCAUAAUAUUUUGAAAAGACGAUCUUUGCCAUUUUCUUGUCCAUCUUUCCAAUGGGCAAAUUAUCUAAAACCUUCAAACGAGGCAAUGAAGCAAUUAUGUACUCCCUAUAAUGUUUCUCGAAGCAUAUAAGUGAUGGGCGGUGUGAGCUAUAAUUCUUCAACGUAGUAGUUUUAUUCUUGAAAUCCCAUGUGCACCCAUUUGCAACGAACUCGUGUACAUCUUCAAUCUAUCAUUCGCCAAAAGAAACCUCAUUUUGUGAUUUGACUUUUCCAUUCAAAUUAGGAAGGAAAUUAGAUGAUAGUUCUAGCAAACCUAUUCUCUGAAGGCAGCUUGAAAUGUCAGCUUCACUAGCAACUGAAAACUCGUCACUUCCUCCGUGAACCUCAUUAAUCAUUGAUGCAUUUGUGGGCGAAAUUAAGUUGCCAUGUAACCCAUCAGCAUGAGAAACUUGAAUAGGAUCAUGUUCAGCAUCAAAAUGCAGUGGUUCAAUGGAUGAACCCAUAUUCAAUUGAGCCGAAACAAGUUUCUCACAUGCAGUAUUUCCCUUCUUACCAAAUGAUGCAGGACAUGGCCCAGUGUCCUUGCAACAUAAACAAUUUUGGAACCGUAGUUCUACCAAAGAAGGAAGUUUCAAUAAAGCAGCCGUAGUUGUCCAAAGAUCAACUACUCUUGUCUCACACAUUGAGAGAUGCAUCAGAUUUGGCAUGCAUGAAAAACAGUCACCAUGCAAACUAGUGAUUGAAGUACAGAAAUCCAGAUUUAAGGUGUGUAAUUGCAUAAAGUUUCCAACCAUGUUCAAUUUUUGGAUGUGGGUGGUCUUCAAGUUCAAAAUUUUGCAAGAUAAGCCAUGCUGACAUAGAUCCCACAAAAAGUCCUCUUCCAAUGACACGUCCUGGAGAUUGACAACUCGGAGUUUUAGAUUAAUUGCUUGCAACAAGGACAUAAUAUGUUCUUCAUUCAAAUUGCAAGGUGAUUCAUGUAGUAUGUCAACAGCAUCAAUAUCAGAAGAGUCUACUGCCAGGAAUGUAUCAAUCAGGGGAGAAAUAUCAUCAUCCUUAAGCUGAUUUAGUGAAACCACAAUGCUACACUUCUUCUGGCAACACUUUUGUAUUUUGGCCUUGGAGAAACAUGAUAGCACUGCAGAAUUGGGUAGCACUUCACGCCAACUGCAGGAAUCAAGAUACCGAGAUUCUAAGCUGGAGAUAUCCAUGCAAAUGGUUGUAUUGCUUCUUCUGGCUAUUCACAUCAAUGGAGCAUAAUUAGGUGUGGUCAAUGGAUGAGAGACUUUGGUAAAGCUGCAGAAUUUUGGUGGGACUUGGGCAGGGGGAGUGGGAUUCAAUACAAAUAUAAGCGAAGUGUCCUCUCAGUCAAAAAAAGUAAGAGUGACAAAACACAUGUCGAUCGGACAAACACAAGAGUGCUCAUAUCAGUUAAAC
This 2257-nucleotide unclassified non-coding RNA is filed under the name Hevea brasiliensis (rubber tree). Lineage: Eukaryota; Viridiplantae; Streptophyta; Magnoliopsida; Malpighiales; Euphorbiaceae. The record is from RNAcentral.